Molecule: long non-coding RNA, 449 nt
Filed under: Mus pahari (shrew mouse)
Lineage: Eukaryota; Metazoa; Chordata; Mammalia; Rodentia; Muridae
Description: lncRNA (MGP_PahariEiJ_G0005330.1)
Source: RNAcentral
GGCAUGCGGAGUGGAUGGUGUCAGGGUGUUUCAUACGGUUUCACAACUGUUAUCUUCCAGGUUGCUUCAAAGCAUCGGCCUCCUCAUCUGAAGACAGGCACUGAGGGAUCUCAGAUAGAAUGAUAACCUGUUCCACUCUGCAUUGCAGCAACUCACUGGGGACAGGUACCAAUGAGUCAAGACCAGCCAUGGGCAAAGAAAACUCAGAAUGGCCAACCUGGAAGGAACCCUUGUUCCCAAGAGCUUCCAGAAUGGUGUGCAGUGUCUGGAACUUAGAAUCUACUUGGCAAACACUUGUGGAAUGUUGCCCUGGGUUUUCCAACACUUAUACCAAGCUUCCUUUCUCUCUACCAUCUUAAAAUAGGUUGUUUUUUUUUCUGGUCUUGUUUUGCACAUUAGAGUCCAUUUGGAGAAGCACUAAUACCCAAAAAUGUAUUUUUGGAGCUAGA